RNAcentral lists this long non-coding RNA (1250 nucleotides) under Chrysemys picta bellii (western painted turtle). RNAcentral's name for it is "lncRNA (ENSCPBG00000000087.1)". The record is from RNAcentral. Lineage: Eukaryota; Metazoa; Chordata; Testudines; Emydidae.
AUCGGGCACUGAAGUAAUAGCUGAAACCUCAAAAACUCUUGUGAAAUGGAGUUUUGUUUUCUGGCUAGCCCAUGUGUUUUGGUGUAUGAGUAGCUGACAUCAGUGCGAGUCGGUGAUGAACUUUUUAGUUCCUUUAAAAUGAGGAACUAAAGUCAGUGAGCUACAAUGGGACAGACAGUUAUUGACAUUUUUAUCUGGCUCUCUAUUGCAGAAGCAACCACAAAAACAGCAGACCACCACACAUUGAACUUUCUAAUCAGACGACCAACCCUAACUUUGAUGUGGCAGGAUUGCCAUUGGAAGAAGUGAAAGGUAAUUCAACUUUGCUUCUUUUGGUCAGUGUUUACUGUGCAAAAUUAUACCAGUCUGGUUGUUAUAGUAUGUAUUACCUAAGCAAAGACCAUGUCUUUUAUUUUUAACAUCUUGUGAGGCAUACAAUGCCAUAGAAGUGAAAGGGCAGUGCAUUGUCUGUUACGUUUGACUCAUCUUUAAUCAUCCAUCAUAUCAAAGUGAUUCAACUCUUAGCAAAAUACACACUUAGAUCUGGAGCAUACAGUGUGCCUGCUUGAAAUAUUUCACAUUCUGAGUUUGUGGGUCACAUGAUGCAUAUGUGAUUUGUGUAGUUUCAAUGUUUCCUUGUAUGAAGAAAAUGAAAUUUUCUAUUUUCACUCCUCCUGUUAAAGCAUGUUAGUUAUGUUAGGUUCUGUCUGAAAAAGUUCUACGUGUUCCUUAAAAUUCAAAUAUUAUCUCUAAAUCUGCAGCAACUGCUGAGAUAAAAUUGUAGAAAUGCUGACUUUCAUUUCAUUGUCUGGCUUUCAGUAUACUUCCUAACAUUUGGCAGCUUUUCCCCAUGUACCAGCCUCAUUUUAUAGCCCUGCUGUUAUGUUCUUGAACUUUGUCAUGACUAUGAUCCUAGGGCAUCUGAACUGUCAGAUAUAAAAGUGGGAAGAGAGAAAGAGGGUAGGAGAGUUGUAGAAGGCGAAAAGCUUAGUAACAUGCUGAUGAAUUUCCUUCCAGCAGAUAGUUUUCACUUUGCCUUCAUUGCUGUCACAUUUCCUUAAAUAAUAGGAAGACUUUUCCACUAAUGGGCAAUGGAGGCUGUUUGCCUGAUGAGAACUUGCAGAGGCAGCCUGCCAUGUGCCUUUAUCUUUUAAACUGAGGUGAAACAAGCUUGCCUGGCUGCAGAUAAGCAGCUUAGAAGCAGUCCUAUUCAGAUGUACCUGUCACUAAUUUAUCUAGGUUUUUUUGUA